This 620-nucleotide long non-coding RNA is filed under the name Ictidomys tridecemlineatus (thirteen-lined ground squirrel). RNAcentral's name for it is "lncRNA (ENSSTOG00000032798.1)". Lineage: Eukaryota; Metazoa; Chordata; Mammalia; Rodentia; Sciuridae. The record is from RNAcentral.
AUUUUGUCUUAUUUUUUCUUACAGAUUAGAUUGUCAUACAGUGAAAACAUGGUAGACUUGGAGCUGAAAAAAUUUGAAUGCUAAUCCCAUCUCUAUGUGUCAUACCAGGCCUCCUAUUACAUAGGUGUGUUUCUUUGGAGACAAGCAACAUUCUUUACAGCCACACACCCAUCCUUAGUGAGAAAGAAUUGCCCAACCUGUAUGUUAAGAAGAUUUUCAUCACUGUGACCAAAACACCUGACAAGAACAACUCAGAGGAGGAAUGAUUUAUUUUGGUUUGUGACUUCAGAGGAUUCAUUCCAUUGAAAACUGGCUCAAAGACAGAAACAUUGUGGCAAAAGGGUGUGGCAGAGGAAAGCAGCUUAGUUCAAGGAAGUUGGCAAGCAGAGAGACAGAAAGGGCCCAGGGACAGAUAUAAUCCCCAAGACCAUGCCCCCAGUGCUAUACUCCUUCCCAGUCUGUCCUGCCUGUGCGCAGUUACCACACAGUUACCAUCUAUCAAAUGGAUUAAUCAAGUGAUGAGGUUAUAGCUGUCACCACACAAUCAUUACAUCUCUGAAAAUUGCUGCAUUGACUGACACAUGAGCUUUUGCUGGGACAGUCCAGACCAACAGUAUAAC